RNAcentral lists this long non-coding RNA (3715 nucleotides) under Gallus gallus (chicken). RNAcentral's name for it is "lncRNA (ENSGALG00010003232.1)". Lineage: Eukaryota; Metazoa; Chordata; Aves; Galliformes; Phasianidae. The record is from RNAcentral.
AGAUGUCUAUUUAUUAGUUGUCCUGUGUGAAAUAAAAUAAGCAUCAUGACUUGAAAUUCAUGGCAUUACAGAACACAGAGUGCAAGCUAGGAGAAUUUUUAACAACACAUAGAUGAGUGGACCAAGGAAAGAUCAGACCUCCAGAUAUUCAAGGCCAGUUGAAGAAAUAGUGCAACUCACACAGCGUUUCCACAAGAACAAGGACCAAGUGCAACCUGCAGGCAAAAGCUGUGGUUUGCACAAAGACAGAGUGGAGAACAAUUGGACAGGCAUCAACACUGAAUGAAGAAAAUUUUGGAGCCCACCUACCCUACUGUAGAGCCUUUGUGCUACAGCUCAGACUCAGACGUGAAAACAUAAAUGCCAUAAUGCAAAAGCACCGAAGUCUUCUACUGGAUCUGGCCCAAGUGAUUUGAAGCAGAAGACAGAAACGACAGAUACUUUUGCAGCACUGACAGGAAAAAUGGAAAUGCUUUGAUGAAGAUAAGACUCUUCCCCAUCACAUGAAUUCAGGCAUGUGCUUGCACAGAUGGGCAGAGGCAACUGCAAUGCCUUUGGCUUUCCAAGAAAAUGCUCUUCAGCUAUAGGUGUCGUUUAACAGCUUCUAGUUUUUGGCUCACAGAGCAGUGUGCCAGGACCUGGCAAAAUCCCACACCAGUGCUGCUGCAAGUUACCUUCCUCUGUAUGCACACUACCUUGGUCUGUCACCAAGGUGAAGCCCCAGCUUGGGACAUUUAUGAGUCACCAGAGGAACUGCAGUGUCCACUGGCAGACACUUGCCAAGGUACUAUUCUUUAUUCUUCAGCCAAAUUGGGCCACAUCAAGGUGUUCCCGCUAUUUGGAUUGCUCUAAAUGACAAAGAAGUGCUACAUAUUCCUGUGGGUGACAUUUGAUGCUUGUGAGGCAAGUCUCCCAAAGGCCAAUGGCCACACAAUCUCUUUCUCCUGAAAUACUGCAACAAAGACAAAGUAGUGAUGCAGCUACCAGCUGAACCAAGAAGGUGAUUCAAAAGUUUUCAAAAGAUUACCAUGUGCUUGAAAAUAAACAUUUAUUUUUUGCCAACUAUGGCAAAGCAAUUUACCUGUUUCAGAUCUAAUAGAGAGACUAGGAAAACCUUUUAGCACAAUGAUUACAGGUAUGGUCUGAAUAGAAGGCAUGCAUUCUGAGCAGUUUUACUGCCAUGUCUAAUGAACUGAUUGUCCUAGGAUUUAAAAUGUUCUUAAUUAAAAACUACAAUUACUGGUAAGUAAUGUUCUUGUUUUUAUAACCAUUGCCCGUAAAUGGUGUUACUGCUGAGAGUCAUGUUCCAUGCAGUACUCAGUCAUAGGAUUUGGGUGUACAAAUAAAACUAAAUAGUGCAGUCUUUUUCAUAGGUUAGAAAGAAAGCACAGUUAUCGCAUCAAUGACAGUAAUAAGUAAGGACUACCAGUUAAGUUCAUUUUGAAAGUAUUACUCCUACAGGACAAGAUAUUAUAAUAUGGAGGAAUGAAUAGCUACUAUAAGCUGCCACUGAUAUUUCAAUCAACAUUAAAGAAACACUUGAACAUAGUUUUCUGCAGAAAGACAGGUAGAAAAUGUUCAGUUAGUAUUGCUCAGUCAUUUUAAGACAUAGUUUUCUUUUAACAGUAUAUAGCUCUCAGCUACAGAAGUGUAAGGAAGCCUCUAGCCUUUAAAUUGUCUUCAAGUGAGUUUCCUGUGGAGAUAAAACAGAAAAGUAGCUAUAAAAUCCAAUCUUGAUAAUGGAUUGCUGCACUAGUGGCUCCCCAAUGAAUUUUGCAGCCACCAUGAUGUUGGUUAUCAUUUUGAGAGUUACUAUCUGAUUGCUAUUUAGAUAUAUAUAUAUUAUAGCAUACUGAUACAGAAAUUAAUAACUGAGCUAGAUUAGCCGUUAACCUUUGUACUGAAGUGGGAAAAUAUUUUAAAAUUUAGGAACAUAUUCUGAGUUGACAUAUGUUCCUUUACAUCUGUCAAAGACAAUAAAAGAUUUUGAUAUAAUUGAGGAAGUAGGUUUUAGUUAUUAUGGAAACCAAAGUAUUUAUAUUUUUCUUGUAUUGUAUGGAGAUUCAUAUUAAACAACAUCAAUUGGUCAGGAGGCACAUGUAGACUACAUACACGUCUGGACUGCAGACCUUCAUGGAGCUCUUGUACAUCAUUCCUGUUACAGUUGUGCGCUCCUCGUACAGUUGUAAACUAAUGGCCAUGACAGUCAGAAGCCUCUCUCUGACCAAAUAAUUUCACUGCCCUAGGUAGGGUACCAAAAACAAAAAACAAACAAACAAAAAAUAUAUUUUUUUUAUCUUUGUGUUGAUUUUUAAUUAAUUUGAAAAGGCUCCUAAACCAGAACUAUUUGGGAAACAGAGUGAAGGCUCUGAAUAAAGCCUUGGUAGAAGACGUAAGGGAACAAGCCAAAGAAUUAAUUUUUAUAAAUGUCACUGCUUUUUCUUGCAAUUCAUCCAAUACUUUAGGCUUUUGGCUUUAGGCUUACAAUUGAUUUUGUAUUACAGAACUAGCCUACUGUGGCACAAUUUUUUUUGGAAAGGAUUUCAGGUUAGUUUCAAUUAAAUACUGUGCAAUAGGCCUAUCUGAAAAACAGAAUUACACUGAUAAAUACUUAUUACUGAGGAAGAAGCAACAUAGAUGUUGUAAAGGGAAGAGACAUUUCACAGAGUUACUACAUUACACUGAAGACAUCACUAUGGACAAGGAAAAAAUUAGAUGGCCUCUAGCCAUUAUUAGCUUGUGGGAGAAACAUUCAAAAUAGUGAAAAAAAACUCUUCAGUUAUUAUGUGGCUAAACUAAAGAUUACAGAAAAGCAUUGUGGGUACUAGCUUAUAGGUAUUCAAAGAGAUCUUCAGUGAAGCUAUGGGAGAAGAUCACACUGAGGUUUGAAAUGUAAAGCGGACAGAUCUUUGGAUCCUUCUUGGUUCAAAAACUGCUGCUGAGUGGGAAGAUUCAUCAUGCAAGUCUCAUGACAUGAGAUGACUUGUUCUAUGUUUGGCCAAAGUGUACCUAUGUAAGCCGCAUUUUAUCUUUAAUGUGAAAAAGCAAGACUGGGAGGAGAGAGUGAACUGUCAAUAAGGAGGUCUGGAGUGGGGACUCUGCUAUUCCCCCUGUCUGGCAAUGACCUCCUUCUGGGCAAGGCAAUGGGAAGCACAGAGGUGUAGUACCUGACAAGGGUCUGUCGCUUAGGACUGUGAUGAGAAGGCUGCAGCACACUUUGCAAUGUGAAGCAGUAAUUAAUGAGUUGAAGCUGUACAUAACACUGAUAAAUCAAGAUGCGGAUAAGUAAUGACAAUGAUAUAUUAAUAUGUUAAAUAAUUUCAGAAUUGCAAGCUAUUAUUCUGUUGAGACAACAUUUGGUGUAUUAACAUUUUGUUGAGCUCUGAAUUUGUUACCAGUAAGUCCAAUAUGUUAAAUCUCCUUUUGUUUCUCAGACUGUAUUGCAAUUAAAAAUAUGAUGUUGUUUCAUGUCUAAUUGCUGGCCUGAACUGAAAUGGUGAGGGAUAUUUUCAUUUGAAAUGAAAAGAAAUCAAGAUUUCUAGAUAGCAACCACCUUCAGAAAGACCUUGGUAAUGGUACGGCAAAGCUUAAAGGUGUUUACAAUAGAAUAUUUUAAAAAUUAUAUUAUUUUUCCAGAUAAUUUUAGUCUUCAAGCAUAGACGAGAUACGUCAUUUGUUGGUUGUUUCUCUUUUUAAAUAAACAACUAUCUGGAAU